CUGUAGGCCCGGCAUUCUCAGGGUGGGCAAGCAGGUCUACCGCCAGACUCCUGCCACCCUUCCAGCUCUGAAAUCGGGCAACUUAUUGAGUCUGCGGAGACGUUACAGACCAUAGUGAUGUGUCAGAGAUGCUGUUCCCAUGGCAGACGGAGAGGGGGCUAUUCUAAAGUGGGGUCUUUCCUCUGGAAAGUUCCGCUUCUGCCGAUCUUCCCAGGGCUGCAGUUGAGUGGUCCCCAGAUGUGGGGCACGUCAGGCUCUCUGCCUCAGGGAUGGAGAGGACAAUUGCAUGCAAUGAUCAUUCGGAUUGUUCCAGCCCUUAGCUUUUAUUCUCUGAGGGUUAGCAGCUGUGGAGUGUGACCCAGGCUCAUUUCACAAAUGGCGGUAAUCAGGGCCCAGAGGCGCUGCAGCCCGGAGAGGAAGGCACUCCUCAAGGAGGGAAGCGAACCCACGUGGAUCAGUCCUUCAGAGAGCUGAAGUCAGGCCCGGACGCUGAGGGCCGGGAGAUGCUGAGGGACCCGGCAGGGCCUCCCACCCACAGCGUGCAUGGCGAUCUGUCAACGUGGCGACUCCCUACAGUAGCCCUGUUGGAAACAACAGAAUAGGCCGCCUAAGCGACUGGUGCCAGCCUCCCCCAGCGAAGGGAAGAUGGGGACUUCCAAAAACAGGGCAUCCUGAGUCACCCCUCCGAUAUCGCUGCAUUUCCAAGCAUCCGAAGGCUGCCUUUGAACCUUUGAGGGGAGCACAGGCAGAGCAGGAGGUGCAGGGGGACCCCAGGGGCCACCCGACCUGUGAUGAAGGCGUGGGAAGCGCCUGUCGGAGGAGGCUCGGGGACCUGCUCAUCUCAGGGUCGCCCAUCUGCUGCCAUCACCGCAGAACCCAGAGUGUGGCGCCGGGUCUCCACCUCCAUCCUCAUCCUCCAACUCUUCGUCACUCAGCCCCACGCAGAAUGACCGGGCCACUCCUGCUCUCCGUAGCCU
This 977-nucleotide long non-coding RNA is filed under the name Equus caballus (horse). Its description in RNAcentral is "lncRNA (ENSECAG00000040905.2)". The record is from RNAcentral. Lineage: Eukaryota; Metazoa; Chordata; Mammalia; Perissodactyla; Equidae.